Molecule: small nuclear RNA, 107 nt
Organism: Phacochoerus africanus (Common warthog)
Lineage: Eukaryota; Metazoa; Chordata; Mammalia; Artiodactyla; Suidae
Source: RefSeq, a predicted model, not a curated record
GUGCUUGCUUCAACAGCACAAAUACUAAAACUGAAAUGAUACUGAGAAGAUUAGCAUGGUCCCUUUGCAAAGAUGAUACACAAAUUUGUGAAAUGUUCCAUAUUUUA